Oncorhynchus masou masou (cherry salmon) is the source of this 294-nucleotide long non-coding RNA. RefSeq lists it as uncharacterized. NCBI's taxonomy places the organism in Eukaryota, Metazoa, Chordata, Actinopteri, Salmoniformes, Salmonidae. The transcript is spliced from 3 exons. The record is from RefSeq and is a predicted model, not a curated record.
UUGUAACAGGUGCUCCAAUGAGCAAAUAUCCAGGUUAUCCAUGUACAACUACCAAAGCUGGGCCUGGAAUAUCAGACGCUUCCCUGGUUCACAUGCUCAGACCUCUCUCACCGAUGUUGGUGCCGGAAGAUGAUGGAGGAUGGGACUCUGCUGGGGAUCACAUGUCCACCCCUAGGACUCCCUUCUACAUGGGUUGACUCUUCCACUGGACCUUUGAAGCCCUUUAAAGCUAUUUUGCCCGAAGAAAAGGACGCAGUGGAGCAUAGCAUUUUUCUUUUUCAAAUAAACUCAAGC